This 74-nucleotide transfer RNA is filed under the name Verrucomicrobiota bacterium. RNAcentral's name for it is "tRNA-Gly". It matches the Rfam family "tRNA". Rfam says of the family: Transfer RNA (tRNA) molecules are approximately 80 nucleotides in length. Their secondary structure includes four short double-helical elements and three loops (D, anti-codon, and T loops). Further hydrogen bonds mediate the characteristic L-shaped molecular structure. tRNAs have two regions of fundamental functional importance: the anti-codon, which is responsible for specific mRNA codon recognition, and the 3' end, to which the tRNAs corresponding amino acid is attached (by aminoacyl-tRNA synthetases). tRNAs cope with the degeneracy of the genetic code in two manners: having more than one tRNA (with a specific anti-codon) for a particular amino acid; and 'wobble' base-pairing, i.e. permitting non-standard base-pairing at the 3rd anti-codon position. Lineage: Bacteria; Pseudomonadati; Verrucomicrobiota. The record is from RNAcentral. RNAcentral also lists the same sequence under 1 other name.
GCGGGUGUAGCUCAGUGGUAGAGUUCCAGCCUUCCAAGCUGGCUACGCGGGUUCGAUUCCCGUCACCCGCUCCA